AUUGAACGUUGGCGGCAGGCCUAACACAUGCAAGUCGAACGAGAAAGCACCUUCGGGUGCGAGUACAGUGGCGGACGGGUGAGUAACGCGCAGGAAUCUACCUAGUAGUGGGGGACAACUCGGGGAAACUCGAGCUAAUACCGCAUACGAUCCUUUUUCUUAGGAAGGGGGAUGAAAGUGGGGGAUCUUCGGACCUCACGCUAUUAGAGGAGCCUGCGUUGGAUUAGCUUGUUGGUAGGGUAACGGCCUACCAAGGCUACGAUCCAUAGCUGGUCUGAGAGGACGAUCAGCCACACUGGAACUGAGACACGGUCCAGACUCCUACGGGAGGCAGCAGUGGGGAAUCUUGGGCAAUGGGCGCAAGCCUGACCCAGCCAUGCCGCGUGUGUGAAGAAGGCCUUCGGGUUGUAAAGCACUUUCAGCAGUGAAGAAAUAUCGGGAGUUAAUAACUCCACGGUCUUGAC
RNAcentral lists this ribosomal RNA (464 nucleotides) under uncultured Gammaproteobacteria bacterium. RNAcentral's name for it is "bacterial SSU rRNA". It matches the Rfam family "Bacterial small subunit ribosomal RNA", at positions 30 to 473 of the family's 1533-position model. The record is from RNAcentral. Lineage: Bacteria; Pseudomonadati; Pseudomonadota; Gammaproteobacteria.